Acanthosepion pharaonis is the source of this 113-nucleotide non-coding RNA. NCBI's taxonomy places the organism in Eukaryota, Metazoa, Mollusca, Cephalopoda, Sepiida, Sepiidae. The record is from the annotation of a GenBank genome assembly.
UGCUGUCAUAUCCCGUUGAAACAACGGUUCUCAUAUGACCACUGAAGUUAAGCAACGUUGAAUCUGGUCAGUACAUAGAUGGGUGACCGCUUGCGUAUACUAGGCGUUGUAAG